AAUCUUGCACAAUGGGCGCAAGCCUGAUGCAGCGACGCCGCGUGAGGGAAGAAGGCCUUCGGGUUGUAAACCUCUUUCAGGAGGGAAGAAGCGCAAGUGACGGUACCUCCAGAAGAAGGACCGGCCAACUACGUGCCAGCAGCCGCGGUAAUACGUAGGGUCCAAGCGUUGUCCGGAAUUAUUGGGCGUAAAGAGCUCGUAGGCGGUCCGGUAAGUCGGAAGUGAAAUCUCAAGGCUCAACCUUGAAAUUGCUUUCGAUACUGGCGGACUUGAGGCAGGUAGGGGAAGGUGGAAUUCCUGGUGUAGCGGUGAAAUGCGCAGAUAUCAGGAGAAACACCGGUGGCGAAGGCGGCCUUCUGGGCCUGUUCUGACGCUGAGGAGCGAAAGCGUGGGGAGCAAAC
RNAcentral lists this ribosomal RNA (401 nucleotides) under uncultured bacterium. Its description in RNAcentral is "partial 16S ribosomal RNA". It matches the Rfam family "Bacterial small subunit ribosomal RNA", at positions 360 to 773 of the family's 1533-position model. The record is from RNAcentral.